RNAcentral lists this ribosomal RNA (465 nucleotides) under uncultured Klebsiella sp. Its description in RNAcentral is "bacterial SSU rRNA". It matches the Rfam family "Bacterial small subunit ribosomal RNA", at positions 338 to 795 of the family's 1533-position model. The record is from RNAcentral. Lineage: Bacteria; Pseudomonadati; Pseudomonadota; Gammaproteobacteria; Enterobacterales; Enterobacteriaceae.
CCUACGGGCGGCAGCAGUGGGGAAUAUUGCACAAUGGGCGCAAGCCUGAUGCAGCCAUGCCGCGUGUGUGAAGAAGGCCUUCGGGUUGUAAAGCACUUUCAUCGGGGAGGAAGGCGUUAAGGUUAAUAACCUUGUCGAUUGACGUUACCCGCAGAAGAAGCACCGGCUAACUCCGUGCCAGCAGCCGCGGUAAUACGGAGGGUGCAAGCGUUAAUCGGAAUUACUGGGCGUAAAGCGCACGCAGGCGGUCUGUCAAGUCGGAUGUGAAAUCCCCGGGCUCAACCUGGGAACUGCAUUCGAAACUGGCAGGCUAGAGUCUUGUAGAGGGGGGUAGAAUUCCAGGUGUAGCGGUGAAAUGCGUAGAGAUCUGGAGGAAUACCGGUGGCGAAGGCGGCCCCCUGGACAAAGACUGACGCUCAGGUGCGAAAGCGUGGGGAGCAAACAGGAUUAGAUACCCCGGUAGUC